CACAACGCGAAAUGCGCUUGACAUUGAACUUGAACUGCAGUCGACGGCCUGCAGUCGACGUCGCAGUCGGCCGAGCUGAUAGCAGUCGGCUACCAGUGGGUGGGAAGGAGACAGACGGCACGAGAGGGGCGUAACGGGCGCCAAUGCCAAAUGCAGCUGGCGAACGAACCAGGGCGUAUACUUAAUAUUAUGAGAUGAAGAGGGUUGGAGAGCAGCGUCACCGACGGCCGCAACAACAAUGCCAUCCAUGUAAACCAUAAUGGAAAUUACAAACACAAAUUACCCAGAAGAGCGGGACAGAGGAUGACUGAAUAGAGCGAGAGGCAGAGAGAGUGAGGAGCGGAGGGAAAUAGCAGCGAUAUCGGUGGCGUAUGAGUAAUUUGCUUUCUUUAUAAACUGAUUCACAGGGACUGAAUUAAAAGUAUGAAAUAUACUUAGUUGACCUUAGAUGUGAUGUGAUUUUUUUAAAGUGAACUAAGAUAUGGCAGGAAAAGAUAAGCGGUCGCGUU
This is a non-coding RNA of Drosophila melanogaster (fruit fly), 509 nucleotides long. NCBI's taxonomy places the organism in Eukaryota, Metazoa, Arthropoda, Insecta, Diptera, Drosophilidae. The record is from Ensembl.